GAGCAUGUAGGCGGCUUUGUAAGUCGGUUGUGAAAGCCUUCCGCUUAACGGAAGAAUGGCGGCCGAAACUGCAUGGCUUGAGUGCGGUAGGGGAGAGUGGAACUUCUGGUGGAGCGGUGAAAUGCGUAGAUAUCAGAAGGAACGCCGGCGGCGAAAGCGACUCUCUGGAGACCGUAACUGACGCUGAGUGUGCGAAAGCUAGGGGAGCAAACGGGAUUAGAUACCCCGGUAGCUAGCCGUAAACGAUGGGCACUAAGUAGAGGGGUUUUGAUUAUUUCUCUGCCGGAGCUAACGCAUUAAGUGCCCCGCCUGGGGAGUACGGCCGCAAGGCUAAAACUCAAGAAUUGACGGGGGCUCGCACAAGCGGUGGAGCAUGUGGCUUAAUUCGAUGCAACGCGAAGAACCUUACCGGGGCUUGACAUGGUAGAAGUAGAAUCCUCAAGGGUGACGAUUCGGUAUCCAGUCCGAAGCUAUCACAGGUGUUGCAUGGCUGUC
RNAcentral lists this ribosomal RNA (495 nucleotides) under uncultured Planctomycetales bacterium. RNAcentral describes it as "bacterial SSU rRNA". It matches the Rfam family "Bacterial small subunit ribosomal RNA", at positions 565 to 1053 of the family's 1533-position model. The record is from RNAcentral. Lineage: Bacteria; Pseudomonadati; Planctomycetota; Planctomycetia; Planctomycetales.